Molecule: ribosomal RNA, 253 nt
Filed under: uncultured bacterium
Lineage: Bacteria
Description: partial 16S ribosomal RNA
Rfam family: Bacterial small subunit ribosomal RNA
Source: RNAcentral
UACGUAGGGACCGAGCGUUGUCCGGAAUCAUUGGGCGUAAAGAGCGUGUAGGCGGCCACUUAAGUCCUGCGUGAAAUCUUGCGGCUCAACCGCAAGCGGUCGUGGGAAACUGGGUGGCUAGAGUGCGGGAGAGGAGAGUGGAAUUCCUGGUGUAGCGGUGGAAUGCGCAGAUAUCAGGAAGAACACCGGUGGCGAAGGCGGGUCUCUGGGCCGAUACUGACGCUGAGGAGCGAAAGCGUGGGGAGCGAACAGG